RNAcentral lists this microRNA precursor (153 nucleotides) under Malus domestica (apple). RNAcentral describes it as "miR396f stem-loop (mdm-MIR396f)". Its record names the gene mdm-MIR396f. Lineage: Eukaryota; Viridiplantae; Streptophyta; Magnoliopsida; Rosales; Rosaceae. The record is from miRBase by way of RNAcentral.
GUGCACAUACAGAUGAUCCUCCCUGUAAUUUUCCACGGCUUUCUUGAACUGUGCAGUUUCCAGAAGAAUUAAACUGGCAGAAAUUUUUCAUGCAGAUACAAAAACAGUUCAAGAAAGCUGUGAAAAACCACCGGCAGGAUCUGAGUUGUUCAU